CGAGGUGUAGCGCAGUUGGUAGCGUGCCUGCUUCGGGAGUAGGAAGUCGCAGGUUCAAGUCCUGUCACCUCGACCA
This 76-nucleotide transfer RNA is filed under the name Clostridiaceae bacterium. RNAcentral's name for it is "tRNA-Pro". It matches the Rfam family "tRNA". Rfam says of the family: Transfer RNA (tRNA) molecules are approximately 80 nucleotides in length. Their secondary structure includes four short double-helical elements and three loops (D, anti-codon, and T loops). The record is from RNAcentral. Lineage: Bacteria; Bacillati; Bacillota; Clostridia; Eubacteriales; Clostridiaceae.